This 465-nucleotide ribosomal RNA is filed under the name Vreelandella stevensii. Its description in RNAcentral is "partial 16S ribosomal RNA". It matches the Rfam family "Bacterial small subunit ribosomal RNA", at positions 338 to 795 of the family's 1533-position model. Lineage: Bacteria; Pseudomonadati; Pseudomonadota; Gammaproteobacteria; Oceanospirillales; Halomonadaceae. The record is from RNAcentral.
CCUACGGGAGGCUGCAGUGGGGAAUAUUGGACAAUGGGGGGAACCCUGAUCCAGCCAUGCCGCGUGUGUGAAGAAGGCCCUCGGGUUGUAAAGCACUUUCAGUGAGGAAGAACGCCUGGUGGUUAAUACCCAUCAGGAAAGACAUCACUCACAGAAGAAGCACCGGCUAACUCCGUGCCAGCAGCCGCGGUAAUACGGAGGGUGCGAGCGGUAAUCGGAAUUACUGGGCGUAAAGCGCGCGUAGGUGGCUUGAUAAGCCGGUUGUGAAAGCCCCGGGCUCAACCUGGGAACGGCAUCCGGAACUGUCAAGCUAGAGUGCAGGAGAGGAAGGUAGAAUUCCCGGUGUAGCGGUGAAAUGCGUAGAGAUCAGGAGGAAUACCAGUGGCGAAGGCGGCCUUCUGGACGGACACUGACACUGAGGUGCGAAAGCGUGGGUAGCAAACAGGAUUAGAUACCCUAGUAGUC